RNAcentral lists this ribosomal RNA (434 nucleotides) under uncultured bacterium. RNAcentral describes it as "bacterial SSU rRNA". It matches the Rfam family "Bacterial small subunit ribosomal RNA", at positions 28 to 429 of the family's 1533-position model. The record is from RNAcentral.
GACGAACGCUGGCGGCGUGCUUAACACAUGCAAGUCGAACGGAGCGCCAUGGAAUGAGGUUUCGGCCAAAGGAAAUGGUUGCUUAGUGGCGGACUGGUGAGUAACGCGUGAGGAACCUGCCUUUCAGAGGGGGACAACAGUUGGAAACGACUGCUAAUACCGAAUACGCUUGGGAGACCGCAUGAUCUACCAAGGAAAGGGUGGCCUCUACCUGUAAGCUAUCGCCUGAAGAGGGGUUUGCGUCUGAUUAGGCAGUUGGUGAGGUAACGGCCCACCAAACCUACGAUCAGUAGCCGGUCUGAGAGGAUGAACGGCCACACUGGAACUGAGACACGGUCCAGACUCCUACGGGAGGCAGCAGUGGGGAAUCUUCCGCAAUGGGCGAAAGCCUGACGGAGCAACGCCGCGUGAGUGAUGACGGCCUCGGUUGUAAG